RNAcentral lists this ribosomal RNA (428 nucleotides) under uncultured bacterium. Its description in RNAcentral is "bacterial SSU rRNA". It matches the Rfam family "Bacterial small subunit ribosomal RNA", at positions 28 to 505 of the family's 1533-position model. The record is from RNAcentral.
GAUGAACGCUAGCAGGGGGCCUAACACAUGCAAGUCGAACGGUACUUCGGUACAGUGGCAGACGGGUGCGUAACACGUACUUACUUACCUUGGAGUGGGGGACAACAUCGGAAACGGUGCUAAUCCGCCAUAAUCCCUACGGGGGAAAGAUUUAUCGCUCUAAGAGAGGGGUGCGGCCUACUAGAUAGUUGGUGAGGUAAAAGCUCACCAAGUCGAUGAUGGGUAGCUGGUCUGAGAGGACGAUCAGCCACAAUGGAACUGAGACACGGUCCAUACCCCUACGGGGGGCAGCAGUGGGGAAUAUUGCACAAUGGACGAAAGUCUGAUGCAGCCACCCUGCGUGGAGGACGAAGCAUUACGGUGUGUAAACUCCUUUUCUGGAGGAAGACGACUGACGGUACUCCAGGAAUAAGCGACGGCUAACUACG